AAUAAGUGCAGUCGUGGGUAUCUAUGUCCAAUGUUUGACCGUCCGUCUUAUUUAAAAAAUAUAAAAAAGUUAGUCACACAUAAAGUAUUAUUCAUGUUUUAUCAUCUAAUAACCAUAAAAAUACUAAUCAUAAAAAAAUUUAAAUAAGAUGAACGGUCAAACGUUGGAUAUAAAUAGUGCAAAACUUACA
This 190-nucleotide microRNA precursor is filed under the name Oryza barthii. Its description in RNAcentral is "MIR812 microRNA precursor family". It matches the Rfam family "MIR812 microRNA precursor family". The record is from Rfam by way of RNAcentral. Lineage: Eukaryota; Viridiplantae; Streptophyta; Magnoliopsida; Poales; Poaceae.